Molecule: transfer RNA, 92 nt
Filed under: Asticcacaulis benevestitus DSM 16100 = ATCC BAA-896
Lineage: Bacteria; Pseudomonadati; Pseudomonadota; Alphaproteobacteria; Caulobacterales; Caulobacteraceae
Also listed under: 6 other names
Description: tRNA-Ser
Rfam family: tRNA
About the family: Transfer RNA (tRNA) molecules are approximately 80 nucleotides in length.
Source: RNAcentral
GGAGACGUGGCCGAGAGGCUGAAGGCACUCGUUUGCUAAAUGAGCGUACCCCUAAAAGGGUACCCAGGGUUCGAAUCCCUGCGUCUCCGCCA